Molecule: long non-coding RNA, 2360 nt
Organism: Polypterus senegalus (gray bichir)
Lineage: Eukaryota; Metazoa; Chordata; Cladistia; Polypteriformes; Polypteridae
Exons: 7
Source: RefSeq, a predicted model, not a curated record
GCAACCGAGGCUCAAGCAGCAACUUAGUUUUUGAGGCCAAUGCAAACAAUGCACCCUCCAUAAGAUGUGAGGCUAUUGUGCCACAGCAGUGCAUGAAUUGUUGCACUUUGUAUCAUUGUCCACUAUGCCCUGCCCUACAGUCUAUGAGGUUGGCAAGAAUCCAAUAGCAUUUAGAUGGACAUUUAAAAUAUGCAAUCAUUUUUGAAGAUAAGAGAAUAUGUCGUUGCCAUCUGCCAUGUAGGUCUGAGGGUCACUACCAUUGUCCGUUUUGCAUGAAGACAAUACUUAGAAGAAACAGUAUGGAGAGUCAUCUAAAAAUAUGCUCAAAAUCUGCAUCUGAGCCUUCCCACAGCCUACUUUUUCCAGUGCAAGAAUCUUCCCUCGACCUACCUGUUAUGCCACAAGAACCUUCCCACAACCUACCUGUUCCGGCACAAGAACCUUCCCACAGCCAAUCUGUUCCAGCACAAGAACCUUCCCACAACCUACCUGUGCCAGCACAAGAACCUUCCCAUACCAUACCGCUACCAGUACAAGAGCACUCCCAAGUUAAUGAGCUGGGUCCAGAAAACAGUUCUAAAAAAAGAAAUACAACAAAGUGCCCUCAUUGCUCAUUAGAUUUUCUCAAAAAGAAUUUGGACACACACAUAUUAAAAAAACAUACAGACAUAUCCCAGGAUGUAACACUCAUGUCUCAUCUUUCCAGCAUUUGUGUUGAUGUAUCUAAUGGAGUGUCAGUAGUUCAACAAACUGGCCUGUUCCGGUCCAUGUACAAAGGAAGACAACAGGCAACAUUCAUCAUGUUAAAUGUGAACUUGUGGAAUGCUGCCAAUUCCACCCUUUGGCUCAGAGAAGUGGAUUGCCUUUUAGUCAGUGUGAACAUCUCCGCUCACUUGAUUAUUGCCAUGACACUGCUUUUGAAGAUAUCUUAAAUCCCAUUGUUCUAGAUGAAAUGGUGGCCCUUAAAUUUUUUGGGAAUGAAAUGAAAGCAGUUUGCCUAAAACGGCAAAAAGCAGCAUAGGCAGCUUGUGUCCCAUUUUCUGUUUUGGUGGAAUUUGGUGGCUCCAAUAAGCAGAUUACGCUAUCCAUACAUGAGCCUACAAUACAUUAUUAUAGCCGUCUCGGUAGAGUCAUGGUCUGCUAUAAUUCGACUGAUGGCACUUGGCACUGUCCCUGUGCAAAGGCUCGCACAACCUGUACUCACAAAAACAUUCGUAAUGGUACUUGUUUCAAAUUAAUAGAGACUUGUUCAAGAUUGGACCAUCUAAAUCAGCAGAUGCACAAACAAUGCAAGGGGGUAUUUAUGUGCCCAACAUUGAUUUGCAAAGAAGUGUGCAAUAUGUUUUUGAUGAAAAAAAAAAACCUGCUUUCCUCCCAGAUGCAAUAAGCAAACCCAAGUCAUUACUUGAGUAUCCUACACAGUUGUGUCCUGUGGAAACAAAAUGUACAUUUUGUUUUGAACAAUUUGUACUUGAAAUGCCUCUGUUGGUCACAAAAAAGGCCAAAAUUGCAACAAUGGUAGGUGUAUUGCAUGAUGUUUGAGUCUACACAAGAAGAUGCCCAGUAUGUCAUGUGCUUUACAGGUAUCAGGAAUGGCAGGACGGACUACACAAUUUCGAUAAUCACUUGUUUCUAAGUCUUGAACUUUUUCUGUACCUUAGACAAGGCUUGCAGAAUCAUAUUUCAACAUAUAGAGCCAUCAACACUUUGGAAGGCCUCAGGGGAGUCCAAUACCGAAACAGAGACAGCCUUCUCAAUGGUUACUUGCAUUUUGAAGCAUUAACAGAUAAUGACAACAGUUAUUCAUGUGUAAACUGUGGAUACCAUCCCCCAGUUGUUAUCAUGGAUCUUCAUAAAAAAGGUGUUUUCUGCUUAGCAGUGAGUGACCUCAAAGAGCUACCUGGCGAAUUCAAAGGCGAAGUGGACAUCGAACAGUUCUGGCGAUCUGUUUGUCUUGAGAUGGUUGCACGUGGAUUCUUUCAAAGUCAUGCGCAGAACCCAUUUUCAGUGGAACCCACCUAUAAGAACUGGGUUCCAUGGAUUGGUAAACAUACAAGGUAAGCCCAAAUAGUACUCAGUACUGAGUAUGAGAAAGUAACAACUUCAAAGAGUGCUCCAGAAGAAGCACAGAUCAUUAAUUUAUUCGAAGAUUGUCUUGUGGAUGAGUUAAUGAAGCAGAAGGUAGAUGGAUUUAAGUAUUUGUUACUAAAUCAGUUAAGAUGAAGUGUAGGGGAACUAUGGUCUUUGUUAUGGCAUGUUUAAUGACAUUUUAUUAUUACCUGUAUUAGGUUGGAGUUGUCAUGAUGCUCCAACAAUGAUGGACGGAUUAAAAGGCAGAAGUCUACGUGACCAUCAUCAUC